CCUACGGGAGACAGCAGUGAGGAAUAUUGGUCAAUGGGCGGGAGCCUGAACCAGCCAAGUCGCGUGAGGGAAGACGGUCCUAUGGAUUGUAAACCUCUUUAGGCGGGGAGCAAUGCCGGGCACGCGUGCCCGGAGGGAGAGUACCCGCAGAAUAAGCAUCGGCUAACUCCGUGCCAGCAGCCGCGGUAAUACGGAGGAUGCGAGCGUUAUCCGGAUGUAUUGGGUUUAAAGGGUGCGUAGGCGGAUUUUUAAGUCAGCGGUAAAAUGUCCGGGCUCAACCCGGGCCGGCCGUUGAAACUGGGGAUCUUGAGUGGGCGAGAAGUAUGCGGAAUGCGUGGUGUAGCGGUGAAAUGCAUAGAUAUCACGCAGAACUCCGAUUGCGAAGGCAGCAUACCGGCGCCCGACUGACGCUGAGGCACGAAAGCGUGGGGAUCGAACAGGAUUAGAUACCCUGGUAGUC
Molecule: ribosomal RNA, 460 nt
Filed under: uncultured bacterium
Lineage: Bacteria
Description: partial 16S ribosomal RNA
Rfam family: Bacterial small subunit ribosomal RNA
Source: RNAcentral